RNAcentral lists this ribosomal RNA (443 nucleotides) under uncultured eukaryote. RNAcentral describes it as "SSU rRNA". It matches the Rfam family "Eukaryotic small subunit ribosomal RNA", at positions 587 to 972 of the family's 1831-position model. The record is from RNAcentral.
AGCUCUUAGAGUGUAUAUGAAUGUUGUUGUAGUUAAAACGCUCAUAGCUUAUAAUAAUGGGUCGAUUGGUUCCUACCGACUGCACUUGUGGAAGGUACUAUCAGUCUGGCUCACAGAAAGUCCAGUGAUUUGCUGUCGGGCGUGGAAACACGCUACGGGCUCGGGCGUAGCGAUACGUUCGAUUCGCUGGAGAGGAUUAACUUUGAACAAAUUAGAGUGUUUAAAACAAGCUUCUUAGCUUUGAAUAUAUUAGCAUAGUAUUACAGAAUAUGAUGGAUUCGUUUCGAAAGUUUUGUUGCGCGCCGUCAAAAGUGCGUAAUGGAGCGGGUCAUUUAAUGAGAGAUAGAAAUUGAUGGAGCGAUCUUUAUUUACUGGGAAGGGGUGAAAUCCUAUGAUCCAGUGAAGAAACACUAAUGCGAAAGCACCUCGCUAAGAUGUUUUUA